This 252-nucleotide long non-coding RNA is filed under the name Amborella trichopoda. RNAcentral's name for it is "long non-coding RNA (ATRI_LNC001306)". Lineage: Eukaryota; Viridiplantae; Streptophyta; Magnoliopsida; Amborellales; Amborellaceae. The record is from RNAcentral.
GAUGGAGAAGAAAGGGAAUAUCUAGAUGGUUCAAUUCUAUGUUUAGAAGUUUCUAUCUCAUCUUCAUUUUUUGAUUUUAAAAUUUUAUUUGAUUUUGCAAACUUUAUUUCUAUAUUACCAUCUACAUGUUGAAUAAUUUUAUCAGGAAUAUUAUUUGUUGGAAUUUGAUGAUGAAUAUUGUCAUUCUGGAUUGACCAAGAUUCUGGUAGAGUAAUUUCUAACCAUUUUAUUGUUUUUGGGAUAAUUGUGUUG